RNAcentral lists this ribosomal RNA (253 nucleotides) under uncultured bacterium. Its description in RNAcentral is "partial 16S ribosomal RNA". It matches the Rfam family "Bacterial small subunit ribosomal RNA", at positions 524 to 776 of the family's 1533-position model. The record is from RNAcentral.
UACAGAGGUCUCAAGCGUUGUUCGGAUUCAUUGGGCGUAAAGGGUGCGUAGGUGGCGCCAUAAGUCAGGUGUGAAAUCUCGGGGCUUAACUCCGAAACUGCAUUUGAUACUGUGGUGCUUGAGGACUGGAGAGGAGACUGGAAUUCACGGUGUAGCAGUGAAAUGCGUAGAGAUCAUGAGGAAGACCAGUGGCGAAGGCGGGUCUCUGGACAGUUCCUGACACUGAGACACGAAGGCCAGGGGAGCAAACGGG